Molecule: long non-coding RNA, 763 nt
Organism: Gambusia affinis (western mosquitofish)
Lineage: Eukaryota; Metazoa; Chordata; Actinopteri; Cyprinodontiformes; Poeciliidae
Exons: 3
Source: RefSeq, a predicted model, not a curated record
UUGAAGGUUCGAGUUUGUCAGAACAACCAAAGGUCAGGUCCACCACUACACCCAGAUGUCAGGCUGUAAUAUCAGAAGCUGUUUAGGGGAAGACAAGUGUUGAACCGAUGUGAGAGUUGACCUGCUGCUUCCAGAUCUCUGCUGAAAAGCUCCGGCUCAGACGACCAACGAUGUUGUUGCCAUGAGGACAGCGACCCUGUGAUGUCACUCAGUUUUCCUCGAGGACGAUGAAAAAGUUCUACAACGUCUCUGAGAUGUUUUGCUGUUCUGUUUGUCACAGGUUGUGGAAAAAAAAUCUAAACUUUCAUCUCAAUCUUUUUUUUUUAAAUGUGUAGUUUUCUUAUUUUCCUCAGGAUUCAGAUGCCAUGACAGACGUCAUCCAGGUUCAUGUGGGGUUGUUGACUGUUAUGUUAUGCUAAGUAUAUCAUUUUGUUAAAGUAAAAUGUUGAAUCUUGUGAACUUAAAAUCUUUUGUUGUGGUUUCUUAAUUUAUUCAGGGCAAUCCGUUUCCUAGAUUCUGCUAAGUAAACUGUACUGUUCAAGUAAGUUGGACUAACUUGAUGUAUUUGAGUUAAGAAGAGAAUAAUUUACUUGCUAUUUUCUAAGUUGAAACAAUUUCACUUAACUAAGUUAAAUUAACUUGACACAAUUAAGUUCUUAGGUACACUGAACAAGUAUAUGUCAAGUAAUCAAAACUUACUUACUUACAUUUUUAAAGGCAGUCGGUUUCCAAGAUUUUUUUUUAAAGUAACGUCAACUUUUCA